Molecule: long non-coding RNA, 1444 nt
Organism: Wasmannia auropunctata (little fire ant)
Lineage: Eukaryota; Metazoa; Arthropoda; Insecta; Hymenoptera; Formicidae
Exons: 5
Source: RefSeq, a predicted model, not a curated record
CAAACAACUUUUAAAUUUAUAACUAGAUUAGUUUCAAGGAUGAGAGUCGAAAAAGUACCCCGAUUUGACCAUUUUCUGGGACAGUUACGCAACAUCUGUGCGAAACAUUGCAUAUCCACGCAUUUAAACGUGAAUGUUGCACGCAUAAUGAGAUGCGCACAAGGCGGAAUGGGGAUCGACUCAUUUUGCGAUAUAUGCGUCUCUUCGUUGUGCGUUAUAUAGCUAGCACAUUGCUCUGUUAGACGAGGCCUGGCUGGCAUAAUUGUGCAAUACGUGUAUCUCGCAUAUCUCAGCGUGCAUCCUUCCUUCCGUUCCGCCCUCCGAGAACUACGCUGCAUACCUACCAAGCGCAACUUACUCAAUGUCGACGAAUAACGGAGAUUGUACAUACGUCGAUACGCUGAUUCGCACGAAUUGUAGCUGACAGCCGAAUGAAUGAAAUGUUCAUUCUUCCAAACAGCUAAAUCGGCACCAAUUGGCAACAUCAAACGCACACAAGAUGAUUUCUAAAAUAUCGGUUUUCAUAUCGACUUAUGGCGUACCGUGUCGAAAAACAUGGAGAUUUUUUAACAUCAUAUUCAAGAAACUCAUUUAACUCAAAAAAUCUGGAUUAAAUACUAUAAUGCAUUUCUCUGUACAUUUUUAAACCAAUAAGAAAAUAUGAUGGAAAGUUUAAUGAGAAAAAAAUAUAUAGAAAUAUGCAUCAAGCACGAGAUGCUGAUCGCAAUAACAAUUUUGGGAUAUCCUGUAUAUAAGUAACGCCAAAACGAUACGAGAGACGAAAGAGUUUCAGAAACAGCCGCGAAACAAUAGGCAUAACUUCUAACACGGUUGACACGCCGGUUACCGCAAGCCGAAAGCAGCUAAUACAGCAAGUUAUCCACUUAGAAAUCCAACGGAACAUUGCGAGAGAAGAGUUUGAGGAGUCGGAGGGUGCAAGGAGGCUGUUACCAACUUUGGAUAAACCGGGCUAAGUUUCCUGGCUCGGUACUUACGAAACUGCCACGCGAAAACGUUUCGAGUUUAUUCUUCCCGCACGCACCGACAGAGAAAUACCGCAGGCAUCGAUUUACAUAACGAUUAAGUUAAUUAAGCGCAUAAAUGUGUUGUUUAUCAGAUCUUCCUUCAAGGUAACAUAUCUUCAGAAAUUAUUAAUUUUCGUACUCUGAUGGCAGGAAUAUUUAAUGAAAUAAAUAUAUCUACUGGCAAACUUUAAAAAACAAUUAUUUAUAAAUAACUAUAUAACACAUUUUAUUUAUUCAUCUGUAUAUAGUUAGUUGUACCAAGUGCAAGACAUAUAUACAAUGUUUUACUUUGUAUCUAUUAUUACAAUAUAUGUAGGUAGUUCACGAGAAUCGAUAUCACAUGAUAUCGAGUCUCGUCUAAUUAAUAGUUAAUAGAAAUUGCAUUUUUAUUUUUUGUUCUCUUUACAUUACGUCACUAU